This 36-nucleotide non-coding RNA is filed under the name Trypanosoma brucei brucei. The record is from RNAcentral. Lineage: Eukaryota; Euglenozoa; Kinetoplastea; Trypanosomatida; Trypanosomatidae.
CAGUGAGAUAGAAUAUAGAUGAGAUUAUAGAGUAAU